This 91-nucleotide non-coding RNA is filed under the name Symbiodinium sp. CCMP2430. Lineage: Eukaryota; Dinophyceae; Suessiales; Symbiodiniaceae. The record is from RNAcentral.
GAAGCAGGGAGGGCCCGUGGGCACCAGCGUCCAGGGCGAGAUUCGCUACGAAGACCAGGUCUUGGUGACGCUGUCUGCCAUCAUUACCUCG